Molecule: non-coding RNA, 568 nt
Filed under: unclassified sequences
Description: ROOL RNA
Rfam family: ROOL RNA
About the family: Firmicutes, Fusobacteria (1 example), Tenericutes (1 example). Environment (Cow rumen (57))
Source: Rfam by way of RNAcentral
GCUAUAAUAUCUUUAGAUUGAGAUGCUGGUGUAGAUGCUUGCAAGCUGCCAGCAGCCCUCGCACGGACAGAGAAGCAAGGAUACUUGUAAUCGUUCCCGUUGAGAAAUCUGGAUGCCGUAAAAGGCAAAGCGAGUAGGCGUACGAUCAUUUCGAGAAGUCAAAAGCUAACAAAGCGUGGUCGGAAUAAUAGACGCUCCUGUGGAGAAUAACCUAUUAGACAACUCUUUGGCAAGGGUGUGAAAAACUUGAUAGGAAAGCCAAACAAUCCGAUUCGUAGUGAAGAGAUUAAAAUCUCGUAUAACACGCUAUGUUGAACAAGUAGCCCAAUCUACGUUUGAAGAUAAUUCUUUCCGAAUGGCAUUUAUUCAAAAAGAAAAAAUCCGAAAGCGGGUGAAAGUUAGAGGUUUCAAGCCUCUUGUCUCAACGGGCAGCGGCGUUUGAGUCGUUGUCGGGCUUAACUGCAUUAGGGUAGCUCCUUAAUGCACGGGUUAAGUUCGGGCAUGGCCGAAGAUGAUGAGUCGGAUGAUUGUAGGGUGAACAAAAGCCCCUCAAUCUUUUUUUGUUGCA